CCUACGGGAGGCAGCAGUGAGGAAUAUUGGUCAAUGGACGCAAGUCUGAACCAGCCAUGCCGCGUGCAGGAAGACGGCUCUAUGAGUUGUAAACUGCUUUUGUACGAGGGUAAACGCAGAUACGCGUAUCUGUCUGAAAGUAUCGUACGAAUAAGGAUCGGCUAACUCCGUGCCAGCAGCCGCGGUAAUACGGAGUAUUCAAGCGUUAUCCGGAGUUAUUGGGUUUAAAGGGGGCGUAGGCGGUCGGAUAAGUUAGAGGUGCAAUCCCGAGGCUCAACUUCGGAAUUGCCGCUGUUACUGUUCGGCUAGCGCGUAGUUGCGGUAGGCGGAAUGUGUGGUGUAGCG
This 345-nucleotide ribosomal RNA is filed under the name uncultured bacterium. Its description in RNAcentral is "partial 16S ribosomal RNA". It matches the Rfam family "Bacterial small subunit ribosomal RNA", at positions 338 to 680 of the family's 1533-position model. The record is from RNAcentral.